This 706-nucleotide ribosomal RNA is filed under the name uncultured fungus. RNAcentral describes it as "eukaryotic LSU rRNA". The stretch from base 280 to 433 matches the Rfam family "5.8S ribosomal RNA". Lineage: Eukaryota; Fungi. The record is from RNAcentral.
CUUGGUCAUUUAGAGGAAGUAAAAGUCGUAACAAGGUUUCCGUAGGUGAACCUGCGGAAGGAUCAUUAAUGAGUUGUGAUGGGGUUUGAUGCUGGCAGCCAAAAUUUGGAUGCAUGUGCUUGCCCUAACACAAUCAUCUUCCAAACACCUGUGCACAUUUUGAGGGAGUUCUGAGUUGAUUUGCCACUUUGUGGUGAUUUUCUUGUAUUCCCUUAAAUCAUUAUACGCUGUUAACAAAUGCUGAACGUGCUUUGUGCCGCAAGGCCUUUAAUAUAAUACAACUUUUAACAACGGAUCUCUUGGCUCUCGCAUCGAUGAAGGACGCAGCGAAAUGCGAUAAGUAAUGUGAAUUGCAGAAUUCAGUGAAUCAUCGAAUCUUUGAACGCACCUUGCGCUCCUUGGUAUUCCGAGGAGCAUGCCUGUUUGAGUGUCAUAUAAUUCUCAACCUUAUUAGCUUUUGCUGAUUAAUGGCUUGGAUGUGGGGGUUCUCUUUUGCCGGCUUCUUCAGAGGUCAGCUCCCCUUAAAUGCAUUAGCUGGUGCCCCGCGUGGACUGUCUAUUUGGUGUGAUAAUUAUCUACGCCGUGGAUGUCUGCAAUGGGUCGUGCACUGCUUAUAGCUGUCCGUUCAUUUGGACAAUACAUGACAAUUUGACCUCAAAUCAGGUAGGACUACCCGCUGAACUUAAGCAUAUCAAUAAGCGGAGGA